This 71-nucleotide transfer RNA is filed under the name Loxodonta africana (African savanna elephant). It matches the Rfam family "tRNA". From Rfam's summary of the family: Transfer RNA (tRNA) molecules are approximately 80 nucleotides in length. Their secondary structure includes four short double-helical elements and three loops (D, anti-codon, and T loops). Lineage: Eukaryota; Metazoa; Chordata; Mammalia; Proboscidea; Elephantidae. The record is from Rfam by way of RNAcentral.
GCAUUGGUGGUUCAGUGGUAGAAUUCUUGCCUUCCAUGUGGAAGACAUGAGUUCGAUUCCCAACCAAUGCA